UUUAAAAAUUUAAUAGCUUACAAUUUUUAAAUAUUUAUUGCUAAUGGAAAACUUUACCAAUCAAGAACUGGCGGAUAUGCAUUUGGCAUACGAAGCAACAAACUGCAAUGCACGAGCAGCAUCGCGGUUGUAUCAUGAACGUUAUCCCGAACGACAGCAUCCUGGAUACAAAAAGUUUAUUGCGGUUCAUCGGCGGCCCGCUGAGACAGGCAUGUUUAAGAUCAAGAUGCAUGAUACUGGUGUUGCUCGAACCAUAAGAACUCGAAUUUGAAAAAGAGGUGCUUCAGCGAGUUGCCGAUGAACCAUUAAAUAGCACACGUGGCGUCGCUAAGAAUAUGAAUACGAGUAACGCUUCUGUCUGGCGGGUACUACACGAGCAACAAUUCCAUCCUUACCACUUUCAGAAACUUCAAGGUAUGACUGCAGCCAAUUAUCAUCCUAGAGUUCAAUUUUGUAGAUGGCUUCUGGAUCACAUCAUUGCACAACCAAAUUUUUUACGAUAUGUUUUGUGGACCGAUGAAGCCUCUUUCACAAGAGACGGUAUUUUUAAUAGUAGAAAUAGCCAUGUUUGGGACGAAGAAAAUCCUUAUGCAAUUUUUCUAAGAAAAGUCUUUAGUCUACGAAACUCCAGUAGAAUCAGAGCUAGACUUGAUUGGACGAGUAACAGCAGCAUUUGAAAUCAUUCAAAACGAGGAUCAAAUUUUUAGUGUAAUCCGCCGAAAUCAUGUGCGGCGUUUAAAUUGGUGUAUUGAGGUUGGAGGAAGACAUUUUUAACAAUUGUUGUGAUGGUAUCAUAUACAAAAGUUAGAAGAAUAACAAAGUACCAAAGAAAAUCUUAAUGAGGUUAAUUAUGAGACUGGUUCGACAAAUAUUUGAUAAUAGAGAUAAAAGACUUCAAAGGUCCAAUGCGUCAAGAAUAUCUAAAUGUUACAAAGAUGAUGAAAAUUUUGAAACUGAUUAUUUACCAGAUGAUGAAAGAAGUAAGUAGUAGCUUACCAUCAGGCAAGUAGGAUGUAACUGUUAUAGUGAAGACAUCUAUCAAAAGAAAGAGAAAAAGAGACACAUCAACAUGUACAUUUUAUUAUUGCCUUUAAGAAGAAAGUAAAAAAUUAAAGCAAAAAAAUUUUCUUAGUCCCUAAUGUAUAAAUGAGAGAUCAGUCAGAUAUUGGGUAACCAAUACAACUAUUCAUGGAAUGCAAAAAAGAAACUAAAAGAAAAACAAGAAUGCAGAAAAAGGAUGAUGAUAGCUGAAAUUAAUGUCUCUAUUCACCAACCAAAAAAAGAGCAGAGAUUUUUGUUGUUCCUUCAAAGUAGGAUAAAUAUGAAACUCAAAAAUUAUAAAGAACUUGAAGAGCAAUUUGGAGCUUCUUGAAGAACAUAUACCAUAUCAAGA
Molecule: long non-coding RNA, 1393 nt
Organism: Anthonomus grandis grandis
Lineage: Eukaryota; Metazoa; Arthropoda; Insecta; Coleoptera; Curculionidae
Exons: 3
Source: RefSeq, a predicted model, not a curated record